This 550-nucleotide ribosomal RNA is filed under the name uncultured Methanosarcina sp. RNAcentral describes it as "bacterial SSU rRNA". It matches the Rfam family "Archaeal small subunit ribosomal RNA", at positions 325 to 879 of the family's 1478-position model. The record is from RNAcentral. Lineage: Archaea; Methanobacteriati; Methanobacteriota; Methanomicrobia; Methanosarcinales; Methanosarcinaceae.
ACGGGGUGCAGCAGGCGCGAAACCUUUACAAUGCGGGCAACCGUGAUAAGGGAACCUCGAGUGCCUGUAAACGCAGGCUGUUCAGGUGUUUAAAACGCACCUGGAGAAAGGGCCGGGCAAGACCGGUGCCAGCCGCCGCGGUAAUACCGGCGGCCCGAGUGGUGACCGUUAUUAUUGGGUCUAAAGGGUCCGUAGCCGGUUUGGUCAGUCCUCCGGGAAAUCUGAUAGCUCAACUAUUAGACUUUCGGGGGAUACUGCCAGGCUUGGAACCGGGAGAGGUAAGAGGUACUACAGGGGUAGGAGUGAAAUCUUGUAAUCCCUGUGAGACCACCUGUGGCGAAGGCGUCUUACCAGAACGGGUUCGACGGUGAGGGACGAAAGCUGGGGGCACGAACCGGAUUAGAUACCCGGGUAGUCCCAGCCGUAAACUAUGCUCGCUAGGUGUCAGGCAUGGCGCGACCGUGUCUGGUGCCGCAGGGAAGCCGUGAAGCGAGCCACCUGGGAAGUACGGCCGCAAGGCUGAAACUUAAAGGAAUUGGCGGGGGAGCAC